ACGCAAGUGCGAUAAGGGGACCCCAAGUGCGAGGGCAUAUAGUCCUCGCUUUUCCUCGACUGUAAGGCGGUCGAGGAAUAAGAGCUGGGCAAGACCGGUGCCAGCCGCCGCGGUAAUACCGGCAGCUCAAGUGAUGACCGAUAUUAUUGGGCCUAAAGCGUCCGUAGCCGGCCACGAAGGUUCAUCGGGAAAUCCGCCAGCUCAACUGGCGGGCGUCCGGUGAAAACCACGUGGCUUGGGACCGGAAGGCUCGAGGGGUACGUCCGGGGUAGGAGUGAAAUCCCGUAAUCCUGGACGGACCACCGAUGGCGAAAGCACCUCGAGAAGACGGAUCCGACGGUGAGGGACGAAAGCUAGGGUCUCGAACCGGAUUAGAUACCCGGGUAGUCCUAGCUGUAAACGAUGCUCGCCUAGGUGUGGCACAGGCUACGAGCCUGUGCUGUGCCGUAGGGAAGCCGUGAAGCGAGCCGCCUGGGAA
RNAcentral lists this ribosomal RNA (478 nucleotides) under Haloferax sp. SSIN14. RNAcentral describes it as "bacterial SSU rRNA". It matches the Rfam family "Archaeal small subunit ribosomal RNA", at positions 359 to 834 of the family's 1478-position model. The record is from RNAcentral. Lineage: Archaea; Methanobacteriati; Methanobacteriota; Halobacteria; Halobacteriales; Haloferacaceae.